UCAAGGUGUGAUGUCACCGGCUCUCUUCGAAAGGAAGAGCCAGCUGCGGCGCCCGAGUAGCCGUUUAGGAGAGUGAGAAGCAUCCAGGUUCGAAUUAGAUCAUGAGAUAAAGAGCUGGAAGCCUAAGAAGCAGACUGAAGAUUCAAGCACAGGCCAUCUGGAAAGAUCUCUCUCUAUAGAGUCCUAAGUUCUGGAUUCAAAUUCUCCCUCUGAUGCUUACUUCACAUAUGACCUCGAGGUAGAGAAACUGAAUCUUAGAGAAUUUAUCUGAUUCAUCUGCUCCUACCCUAACACAAGAAGCUAUGGAAAUUGAAUCUUGACAGUCACUUCAACUUGAUAUAAGAGACUGGGAGGAGCUUAUCCUGUGACCAUGGAUAUAUCUGGGACCAUCCGUUCCCAUCACCACCUGGAAGAAGUCUUCACAGUGAUGAGUAUCUGCUCCCAGCAAUGACCCAAAUAUAAGAGAAUUUGAGCUAAGAAGCAUCAUGACAUCCAUGCACAAAGGUAUCAAAAAAGCAGCACUCUCCAGUGUGG
Molecule: long non-coding RNA, 534 nt
Organism: Sarcophilus harrisii (Tasmanian devil)
Lineage: Eukaryota; Metazoa; Chordata; Mammalia; Dasyuromorphia; Dasyuridae
Exons: 4
Source: RefSeq, a predicted model, not a curated record